AUGUGAUGGCAUUCCAAGACAUUUUACCAACACAUGUAGGCGUGCUGCAGUGUCAUAACGAGUACCAAUCACAUCACGUGGUUGUAAAACUAGACCCUUCUAAUCAAGGCAUUGCGGAGGUAAUGGAUUAAUAGUGUGAUCAGAUGACACCAUUGCCUUUAGUUGUGACCCACCGUUUGGAUUUGAUCAACAACUUUAAACGGUAGGUCACUCUACCAGUCCGUUCCAUGACUUCGAAUGGACCAAACUAACGAUCUGAAAUCUUCUGACACAGUCUUUUAACAACUGAUUACUGCCUAUAAAGUUUAAGCUUCAAAUAAACAGUAGUGCCCACUUCAAACUCCACAUGGCAACAAUGUUUAUUUGCACUCUCA
RNAcentral lists this long non-coding RNA (374 nucleotides) under Brassica napus (rape). RNAcentral describes it as "long non-coding RNA (BNAP_LNC006774)". Lineage: Eukaryota; Viridiplantae; Streptophyta; Magnoliopsida; Brassicales; Brassicaceae. The record is from RNAcentral.